RNAcentral lists this ribosomal RNA (274 nucleotides) under uncultured bacterium. Its description in RNAcentral is "partial 16S ribosomal RNA". It matches the Rfam family "Bacterial small subunit ribosomal RNA", at positions 523 to 796 of the family's 1533-position model. The record is from RNAcentral.
AUACGGAGGGUGCAAGCGUUGUUCGGAAUCACUGGGCGUAAAGGGCGCGCAGGCGGUUUGGUAAGUCAGAUGUGAAAGCCCACGGCUCAACCGUGGAAGUGCAUUUGAAACUGUCAGACUUGAGUACUAGAGGGGAAAGUGGAAUUCCCGGUGUAGAGGUGAAAUUCGUAGAUAUCGGGAGGAAUACCGGUGGCGAAGGCGACUUUCUGGCUAGAUACUGACGCUGAGGCGCGAAAGCGUGGGGAGCAAACAGGAUUAGAUACCCCAGUAGUCC